UACAGAGACCUCAAGCGUUAUCCGGAAUCAUUGGGCGUAAAGCGUACCGAUAGGUGGUUUUACAAGUCAGAAGUGAAAUCCCUCAGCUCAACUGGGAGACUGUCUUUUGAAACUGUAAAACUAGAGGGGCAAGGAGGAAGCUGGAACGAACGGUGUAGUAGUGAAAUGCGUUGAUAUCGUUCGGAACACCAAUAGCGUAGGCAGGCUUCUGGGUGCCACCUGACACUGCUAGGACGAAAGCGUGGGUAGCGAAUGGG
RNAcentral lists this ribosomal RNA (257 nucleotides) under uncultured bacterium. RNAcentral describes it as "partial 16S ribosomal RNA". It matches the Rfam family "Bacterial small subunit ribosomal RNA", at positions 524 to 776 of the family's 1533-position model. The record is from RNAcentral.